AUCGAACGCUGGCGGAACGCUUUACACAUGCAAGUCGAACGGUAACGCGGAGAGAAGCUUGCUUCUCUCCGGCGACGAGUGGCGAACGGGUGAGUAAUACAUCGGAACGUGUCCGCUCGUGGGGGACAACCAGCCGAAAGGUUGGCUAAUACCGCAUGAGUUCUACGGAAGAAAGAGGGGGACCCGCAAGGGCCUCUCGCGAGCGGAGCGGCCGAUGACUGAUUAGCCGGUUGGUGAGGUAACGGCUCACCAAAGCAACGAUCAGUAGCUGGUCUGAGAGGACGACCAGCCACACUGGGACUGAGACACGGCCCAGACUCCUACGGGAGGCAGCAGUGGGGAAUUUUGGACAAUGGGCGCAAGCCUGAUCCAGCUAUUCCGCGUGUGGGAUGAGGGCCCUCGGGUUGUAAACCACUUUUGUAGAGAACGAAAAGACACCUUCGAAUAAAGGGUGUUGCUGACGGUACUCUAAGAAUAAGCACCGGCUAACUACGUGCCAGCAGCCGCGGUAAUACGUAGGGUGCGAGCGUUAAUCGGAAUUACUGGGCGUAAAGGGUGCGCAGGCGGUUGAGUAAGACAGAUGUGAAAUCCCCGAGCUUAACUCGGGAAUGGCAUAUGUGACUGCUCGACUAGAGUGUGUCAGAGGGAGGCGGAAUUCCACGUGUAGCAGUGAAAUGCGUAGAUAUGUGGAAGAACACCGAUGGCGAAGGCAGCCUCCUGGGACAUAACUGACGCUCANGCACGAAAGCGUGGGGAGCAAACAGG
Molecule: ribosomal RNA, 765 nt
Filed under: uncultured bacterium
Lineage: Bacteria
Description: bacterial SSU rRNA
Rfam family: Bacterial small subunit ribosomal RNA
Source: RNAcentral